This 440-nucleotide ribosomal RNA is filed under the name uncultured bacterium. RNAcentral describes it as "partial 16S ribosomal RNA". It matches the Rfam family "Bacterial small subunit ribosomal RNA", at positions 338 to 795 of the family's 1533-position model. The record is from RNAcentral.
CCUACGGGGGGCAGCAGUGGGGGAUAUUGCACAAUGGGGGCAACCCUGAUGCAGCGACGCCGCGUGGGUGAAGAAGCGCCUCGGCGCGUAAAGCCCUGUCAGCAGGGACGAAAAUGACGGUACCUGAAGAAGAAGCCCCGGCUAACUACGUGCCAGCAGCCGCGGUCAUACGUCGGGGGCAAGCGUUAGCCGGAUUUACUGGGGGGAAAGGGGGCGCAGACGGCGAUGCAAGCCAGGAGUGAAAGCCAGGGGCCCAACCCCGGGACUGCUCUUGGAACUGCGUGGCUAGAGUGCGGGAGGGGCAGGCGGAAUUCGUGGUGUAGCGGUGAAAUGCGUAGAUAUCAGGAGGAACACCGGAGGCGAAGGCGGCCUGCUGGACUGCAACUGACGUUGAGGCCCGAAAGCGUGGGGAGCAAACAGGAUUAGAUACCCGGGUAGUC